This 269-nucleotide ribosomal RNA is filed under the name uncultured prokaryote. Its description in RNAcentral is "partial 16S ribosomal RNA". It matches the Rfam family "Bacterial small subunit ribosomal RNA", at positions 524 to 792 of the family's 1533-position model. The record is from RNAcentral.
UACGGAGGGUGCAAGCGUUAUCCGGAAUCACUGGGCGUAAAGGGCGCGUAGGUGGUCUGUUAAGUCUGGCGUUAAAGCCUGGGGCUCAACCCCAGAUCAGCGUUGGAUACUGGCAGGCUAGACGGUUGGAGAGGCGAGUGGAAUUACCAGUGUAGCGGUGGAAUGCGUAGAUACUGGUAGGAACACCCAUUGCGAAGGCAGCUCGCUGGACAACACGUGACACUGAGGCGCGAAAGUGUGGGGAGCAAACCGGAUUAGAUACCCGGGUA